This 505-nucleotide ribosomal RNA is filed under the name uncultured bacterium. RNAcentral's name for it is "partial 16S ribosomal RNA". It matches the Rfam family "Bacterial small subunit ribosomal RNA", at positions 29 to 523 of the family's 1533-position model. The record is from RNAcentral.
AUUGAACGCUGGCGGCAGGCCCAACACAUGCAAGUCGGACGGUAGCACAGAGGAGCUUGCUCCUUGGGUGACGAGUGGCGGACGGGUGAGUAAUGUCUGGGGAUCUGCCCGAUAGAGGGGGAUAACCACUGGAAACGGUGGCUAAUACCGCAUACGUCGCAAGACCAAAGAGGGGGACCUUCGGGCCUCUCACUAUCGGAUGAACCCAGAUGGGAUUAGCUAGUAGGCGGGGUAAUGGCCCACCUAGGCGACGAUCCCUAGCUGGUCUGAGAGGAUGACCCGCCACACUGGAACUGAGACACGGUCCAGACUCCUACGGGAGGCAGCAGUGGGGAAUAUUGCACAAUGGGCGCAAGCCUGAUGCAGCCAUGCCGCGUGUAUGAAGAAGGCCUUCGGGUUGUAAAGUACUUUCAGCGGGGAGGAAGGCGGUGAGGUUAAUAACCUCGCCGAUUGACGUUACCCGCAGAAGAAGCACCGGCUAACUCCGCGCCAGCCGCCGCAGUAA